Long non-coding RNA from Betta splendens (Siamese fighting fish), 1791 nucleotides. The record is from Ensembl. Lineage: Eukaryota; Metazoa; Chordata; Actinopteri; Anabantiformes; Osphronemidae.
AUGAGUACUGCUGAUUCGGUGACAGACCAGGGCACAAGGGACCGAUUAUUCAAGGAGGCAGCUGCCCUCAUCCUGAGGGAACCCACCCUGCGUGAGGCCCUGCAACUCCCAGGCCUGCAGCCAGCAGCCACACCAGGUCCUACUCCUCAGGUAGGUCAGUCGAGCCACGCUCAGUCUCCAGCCCCAGUUCAGUCGUGCUCUGCUCAGGCUCCAGCCCCAGUUCAGUCGUGCUCUGCUCAGGCUCCAGCCCCAGCUCAGCCUUGUCGCGUCCAGGUCCCAGCUCAGCCUUGUCGCGUCCAGGUCCCAGCUCAGCCUUGUCGCGUCCAGGUCCCAGCUCAGCCUUGUCGCGUCCAGGUCCCAGCUCAGCCUUGUCGCGUCCAGGUCCCAGUCCAGUCGAGUCGCGUCCAGGUCCCAGUCCAGUCGAGUCGCGUCCAGGUCCCAGUCCAGUCGAGUCGCGUUCAGGCCUUGUCCCAACCAGAGGGAACCACCCAUCAAACAAGUGCUAUUCACACCCGAUCAGGCCCGGCGUCUACUUCCUCGAGCUCGGCAGCUGCAAGCAGCCAUGCCGGCUCCAGACAGGACGCCGUCUCAGUCCCUGCCGGCUCCAGUGAGGAGCCCGAGAGCAGCACUGCCGGCUCCAGUGAGGAGCCCGAGAGCAGCACUGCCGGCUCCAGUGAGGAGCCCGAGAGCAGCACUGCCGGCUCCAGUGAGGAGCCCGAGAGCAGCACUGCCGUUCUAGUUCCCGUUCCUGUCGGCUCCCGCGAGGACGCUGUUCGUGUCCCUGUCAGCCUCGGAGGGGCAGUCCCCGCCAACCUCCAGGAGGAGGUCGCGCCAGCUGGAGUUUCUGCCGCAGUCCCCGCCGACCUCCAGGAGGAGGCCGCGCCGGUCGCAGUUCCCGCCGCGGUUCCCGACGAUCUCCAGGAGGAGGUCGCGCCUGCCACAGUUCCCGCCGACCUCCAGGAGGAGGUCACGCCUGUUGCCGUUUCCGCUGCAGUUCCUGUCGUCCUCCAGGAGGGGGUCGUUCCUGUUGCCGUUCCUGCUACAGUUCCUGAUGGUCCUGCAGAGACUUUUGUUUCUGUUCCUUUGUGCGCAGGAGCCGUUCCGGGGGGUGCCGGAGGUUCCUGCGGAGAUCCCUCUGCACCGGCCACACUCGCAGAGGCAGCUCCUGGUGGUCUGACGUCUGCCACGUUGACCCCGGUCCCUGGUGAUCUGGCACAGAUCACACCUGCCUCAGCUCCUUGUGGUCCGACCACGUCUGCCUCAGCUCUUGGUGAUCUGGUACAGAUCACAUCUGCCUCAGCUCCUGGUGGCUCGGCUCCGGCCACGUCUCCACGUCUGUCCUCGUCUCUGGUACCUGCCUCGUCUCUGGUUCCGGCCUCGCCUCCACGUCUGUCCUCGUCUCUGGUUCGUCUGCCGUACUGGUGGCCUCGCCCUCGUCACCUCCUGCCGGUUGGGUGGCGCUGCCUCCUGCGGCGACAUCCGCCUCGGCUUCGCCGUCGUCGGGGCCGCUCACCUCGGGAACGUCCCCUCCUGCCACGACGAUGGCGCGGUCUCUGCCGUCAUCGUCUGCCGCGACUCUGGGGUCCUUGGAUCACCUCCGUCGGGAGGAGGCUGGACUCCGCCAGCCUUGCGCUUGGGCAUGGGGAGUGCCGUCUUGGCCUGGCGGCCGUGCAACCUACCCUCUCCUCGCCACCAUCCCCCGUGAAAGGACAGUUUGGACCUUGUUUUUUGUGUUACGGACUCCACUUCCUGCCCUAUUUCAUGUUCUUGUUGUCGUUGUUUCUGUUUUAA